CGAACGGGUGAGUAACACGUGGGCAACCUGCCCUCAGCUCUGGGAUAACCCCCGGAAACGGGAGCUAAUACCGGAUAUGACCUCUUUGGACAUCCUUCGAGGUGGAAAGAAUUUCGGCUGAGGAUGGGCCCGCGGCCUAUCAGCUUGUUGGUGGGGUAAUGGCCUACCAAGGCGACGACGGGUAGCUGGUCUGAGAGGAUGGUCAGCCACAUUGGAACUGAGACACUGUCCAG
Molecule: ribosomal RNA, 233 nt
Filed under: uncultured bacterium
Lineage: Bacteria
Description: partial 16S ribosomal RNA
Rfam family: Bacterial small subunit ribosomal RNA
Source: RNAcentral